RNAcentral lists this ribosomal RNA (442 nucleotides) under uncultured bacterium. RNAcentral describes it as "partial 16S ribosomal RNA". It matches the Rfam family "Bacterial small subunit ribosomal RNA", at positions 338 to 795 of the family's 1533-position model. The record is from RNAcentral.
CCUACGGGAGGCAGCAGUGGGGAAUAUUGGGCAAUGGGCGCAAGCCUGACCCAGCAACGCCGCGUGAAGGAAGAAGGCUUUCGGGUUGUAAACUUCUUGUAAGAGGGAAGAGCAGAAGACGGUACCUCUGGAAUAAGCCACGGCUAACUACGUGCCAGCAGCCGCGGUAAUACGUAGGUGGCAAGCGUUGUCCGGAUUUACUGGGGGGAAAGGGCGUGUAGCCGGGCUGACAAGUCAGAUGUGAAAUUCCGGGGCUCAACCCCGGACCUGCCUUUGAAACUGUUGGUCUUGAGUAUCGGAGAGGCCGGCGGAAUUCCUAGUGUAGCGGUGAACUGCGUAGCUAUUAGGCGGCACCCCAGUGGCGAAGGCGGCCUGCUGGACGACAACUGACGGUGAGGCGCGAAAGCGUGGGGAGCAAACAGGAUUAGAUACCCGAGUAGUC